AAGCUACCUACUUCUUUUGCAACCCACUCCCAUGGUGUGACGGGCGGUGUGUACAAGGCCCGGGAACGUAUUCACCGUAGCAUUCUGAUCUACGAUUACUAGCGAUUCCGACUUCAUGGAGUCGAGUUGCAGACUCCAAUCCGGACUACGACAUACUUUAUGAGGUCCGCUUGCUCUCGCGAGGUCGCUUCUCUUUGUAUAUGCCAUUGUAGCACGUGUGUAGCCCUACUCGUAAGGGCCAUGAUGACUUGACGUCAUCCCCACCUUCCUCCAGUUUAUCACUGGCAGUCUCCUUUGAGUUCCCGGCCGAACCGCUGGCAACAAAGGAUAAGGGUUGCGCUCGUUGCGGGACUUAACCCAACAUUUCACAACACGAGCUGACGACAGCCAUGCAGCACCUGUCUCAGAGUUCCCGAAGGCACCAAAGCAUCUCUGCUAAGUUCUCUGGAUGUCAAGAGUAGGUAAGGUUCUUCGCGUUGCAUCGAAUUAAACCACAUGCUCCACCGCUUGUGCGG
RNAcentral lists this ribosomal RNA (515 nucleotides) under Kluyvera cryocrescens. Its description in RNAcentral is "partial 16S ribosomal RNA". Lineage: Bacteria; Pseudomonadati; Pseudomonadota; Gammaproteobacteria; Enterobacterales; Enterobacteriaceae. The record is from RNAcentral.